This 460-nucleotide ribosomal RNA is filed under the name uncultured bacterium. RNAcentral's name for it is "partial 16S ribosomal RNA". It matches the Rfam family "Bacterial small subunit ribosomal RNA", at positions 338 to 795 of the family's 1533-position model. The record is from RNAcentral.
CCUACGGGAGGCAGCAGUGAGGAAUAUUGGUCAAUGGACGAGAGUCUGAACCAGCCAAGUAGCGUGAAGGAUGACUGCCCUAUGGGUUGUAAACUGCUUUUAUAAGGGAAUAAAACGAGGCACGUGUGCCUGUUUGCAUGUACCGUACGAAUAAGGAUCGGCUAACUCCGUGCCAGCAGCCGCGGUAAUACGGAGGAUCCGAGCGUUAUCCGGAUUUAUUGGGUUUAAAGGGUGCGUAGACGGGUUGUUAAGUUAGUGGUGAAAGUUUGGGGCUCAACCCUGAAAUUGCCAUUGAUACUGGAGGACUUGAGAGCAGUUGCGGUAGGCGGAAUGUGUGGUGUAGCGGUGAAAUGCUUAGAGAUCACACAGAACCCCGAUUGCGAAGGCAGCUUACUAAACUGUGACUGACAUUGAUGCUCGAAAGUGUGGGUAGCAAACAGGAUUAGAUACCCCUGUAGUC